Molecule: ribosomal RNA, 840 nt
Filed under: uncultured organism
Description: bacterial SSU rRNA
Rfam family: Bacterial small subunit ribosomal RNA
Source: RNAcentral
UCUGCUUAACACAUGCAAGUCGAACGCAACCUUCGGGUUGAGUGGCGGACGGGUGAGUAACGCGUGAGAAUCUGCCUUGGGGUCGGGGACAACCACUGGAAACGGUGGCUAAUACCGGAUAAGCCUUUGGGUAAAAGAUUUAUUGCCCCAAGAGGAGCUCGCGUCUGAUUAGCUAGUUGGUGAGGUAAAAGCUCACCAAGGCAGCGAUCAGUAGCUGGUCUGAGAGGACGAUCAGCCACACUGGGACUGAGACACGGCCCAGACUCCUACGGGAGGCAGCAGUGGGGAAUUUUCCGCAAUGGGCGAAAGCCUGACGGAGCAAGACCGCGUGAGGGAGGAAGGCUCUUGGGUUGUAAACCUCUUUUCUCAGGGAAGAAGCUCUGACGGUACCUGAGGAAUCAGCCUCGGCUAACUCCGUGCCAGCAGCCGCGGUAAUACGGAGGAGGCAAGCGUUAUCCGGAAUUAUUGGGCGUAAAGCGUCCGCAGGUGGCGAUUCAAGUCUGCUGUCAAAGCACGGGGCUUAACUCCGUUAAGGCAGUGGAAACUGAAUAGCUAGAGUGCCGUAGGGGUAGAGGGAAUUCCCGGUGUAGCGGUGAAAUGCGUAGAGAUCGGGAAGAACAUCGGUGGCGAAAGCGCUCUACUGGACGGCAACUGACACUCAGGGACGAAAGCUAGGGGAGCGAAUGGGAUUAGAUACCCCAGUAGUCCUAGCUGUAAACGAUGGAUACUAGGUGUAGCUUGUAUCGACCCGAGCUGUGCCGAAGCUAACGCGUUAAGUAUCCCGCCUGGGGAGUACGCACGCAAGUGUGAAACUCAAAGGAAUUGACGAGGGCCCGCACA